ACCAGACUCCUACGGGAGGCAGCAGUGGGGGAUAUUGCACAAUGGGGGAACCCUGAUGCAGCGACGCCGCGUGGGUGAAGAAGCGCCUCGGCGCGUAAAGCCCUGUCAGCAGGGAAGAAAAUGACGGUACCUGAAGAAGAAGCCCCGGCUAACUACGUGCCAGCAGCCGCGGUAAUACGUAGGGGGCAAGCGUUAUCCGGAUUUACUGGGUGUAAAGGGGGCGCAGACGGCGAUGCAAGCCAGAAGUGAAAGCCCGGGGCCCAACCCCGGGACUGCUCUUGGAACUGCGUGGCUGGAGUGCAGGAGAGGCAAGUGGAAUUCCUAGUGUAGCGGUGAAAUGCGUAGAUAUUAGGAGGAACACCAGUGGCGAAGGCGGCUUGCUGGACUGUAAAUGACGCUGAGGCUCGAAAGCGUGGGGAGCAAACAGGAUUAGAUACCCUUGUAG
Molecule: ribosomal RNA, 445 nt
Filed under: uncultured bacterium
Lineage: Bacteria
Description: partial 16S ribosomal RNA
Rfam family: Bacterial small subunit ribosomal RNA
Source: RNAcentral